Molecule: ribosomal RNA, 1020 nt
Filed under: Rothia sp. IAB2
Lineage: Bacteria; Bacillati; Actinomycetota; Actinomycetes; Micrococcales; Micrococcaceae
Description: bacterial SSU rRNA
Rfam family: Bacterial small subunit ribosomal RNA
Source: RNAcentral
GCUUGCACUGGUUGGAUUAGUGGCGAACGGGUGAGUAAUACGUGAGUAACCUGCCUUUGACUCUGGGAUAAGCCUGGGAAACUGGGUCUAAUACCGGAUAUGACAAGGAACCGCAUGGUUUUUUGUGGAAAGGGUUUGUACUGGUUUUAGAUGGGCUCACGGCCUAUCAGCUUGUUGGUGAGGUAAUGGCUCACCAAGGCGACGACGGGUAGCCGGCCUGAGAGGGUGACCGGCCACACUGGGACUGAGACACGGCCCAGACUCCUACGGGAGGCAGCAGUGGGGAAUAUUGCACAAUGGGCGCAAGCCUGAUGCAGCGACGCCGCGUGAGGGAUGACGGCCUUCGGGUUGUAAACCUCUUUCAGCAGGGAAGAAGCGAAAGUGACGGUACCUGCAGAAGAAGCGCCGGCUAACUACGUGCCAGCAGCCGCGGUAAUACGUAGGGCGCGAGCGUUGUCCGGAAUUAUUGGGCGUAAAGAGCUUGUAGGCGGUUUGUUGCGUCUGCUGUGAAAGACCGGGGCUUAACCCCGGUAUUGCAGUGGGUACGGGCAGACUAGAGUGCAGUAGGGGAGACUGGAAUUCCUGGUGUAGCGGUGAAAUGCGCAGAUAUCAGGAGGAACACCGAUGGCGAAGGCAGGUCUCUGGGCUGUAACUGACGCUGAGAAGCGAAAGCAUGGGGAGCGAACAGGAUUAGAUACCCUGGUAGUCCAUGCCGUAAACGUUGGGCACUAGGUGUGGGGGACAUUCCACGUUUUCCGCGCCGUAGCUAACGCAUUAAGUGCCCCGCCUGGGGAGUACGGCCGCAAGGCUAAAACUCAAAGGAAUUGACGGGGGCCCGCACAAGCGGCGGAGCAUGCGGAUUAAUUCGAUGCAACGCGAAGAACCUUACCAAGGCUUGACAUAUACUGGACCGCCUCAGAGAUGGGGUUUCCCUUCGGGGCUGGUAUACAGGUGGUGCAUGGUKGUCGUCAGCUCGUGUCGUGAGAUGUUGGGUUAAGUCCCGCAACGAGCGCAACCCUC